UGUGACAUACCUUAAUGUUGCCUCGGCGGAUCAGCCCGCGCCCCGUAAAACGGGACGGCCCGCCAGAGGACCCAAACUCUAAUGUUUCUUAUUGUAACUUCUGAGUAAAACAAACAAAUAAAUCAAAACUUUCAACAACGGAUCUCUUGGUUCUGGCAUCGAUGAAGAACGCAGCAAAAUGCGAUAAGUAAUGUGAAUUGCAGAAUUCAGUGAAUCAUCGAAUCUUUGAACGCACAUUGCGCCCGCUGGUAUUCCGGCGGGCAUGCCUGUUCGAGCGUCAUUUCAACCCUCAAGCCCCCGGGUUUGGUGUUGGGGAUCGGCUCUGCCCUUCUGGGCGGUGCCGCCCCCGAAAUACAUUGGCGGUCUCGCUGCAGCCUCCAUUGCGUAGUAGCUAACACCUCGCAACUGGAACGCGGCGCGGCCAUGCCGUAAAACCCCAACUUCUGAAUGUUGACCUCGGAUCAGGUAGGAAUACCCGCUGAACUUAAGCAUAUCAAUAAG
Molecule: ribosomal RNA, 501 nt
Filed under: Fusarium sp. Tibet-5000
Lineage: Eukaryota; Fungi; Ascomycota; Sordariomycetes; Hypocreales; Nectriaceae
Description: eukaryotic LSU rRNA
Rfam family: 5.8S ribosomal RNA (bases 127-280)
Source: RNAcentral